UUGAACGCUGGCGGCAGGCCUAACACAUGCAAGUCGAACGGUAACAGGAAGAAGCUUGCUUCUUUGCUGACGAGUGGCGGACGGGUGAGUAAUGUCUGGGAAACUGCCUGAUGGAGGGGGAUAACUACUGGAAACGGUAGCUAAUACCGCAUAACGUCGCAAGACCAAAGAGAGGGACCUUCGGGCCUCUUGCCAUCGGAUGUGCCCAGAUGGGAUUAGCUAGUAGGUGGGGUAACGGCUCACCUAGGCGACGAUCCCUAGCUGGUCUGAGAGGAUGACCAGCCACACUGGAACUGAGACACGGUCCAGACUCCUACGGGAGGCAGCAGUGGGGAAUAUUGCACAAUGGGCGCAAGCCUGAUGCAGCCAUGCCGCGUGUAUGAAGAAGGCCUUCGGGUUGUAAAGUACUUUCAGCGGGGAGGAAGGGAGUAAAGUUAAUACCUUUGCUCAUUGACGUUACCCGCAGAAGAAGCACCGGCUAACUCCGUG
Molecule: ribosomal RNA, 489 nt
Filed under: uncultured bacterium
Lineage: Bacteria
Description: partial 16S ribosomal RNA
Rfam family: Bacterial small subunit ribosomal RNA
Source: RNAcentral